Molecule: ribosomal RNA, 220 nt
Filed under: Olea europaea subsp. europaea
Lineage: Eukaryota; Viridiplantae; Streptophyta; Magnoliopsida; Lamiales; Oleaceae
Description: LSU_rRNA_bacteria
Rfam family: Bacterial large subunit ribosomal RNA
Source: RNAcentral
AUGCUGGCAUGGCAGUCAGGAAGAUUCACGAUAAAUUGGAUAAAAAAAAAAAAGCAUUGAAAUCGAUUUUUAUUGACCAAUCAGAAUUCUCUCCUAGGGUCUAUAAUUGCCUCAAAAGGUCCAACAGCGACCGAAACCCCGGUGAACGGCGGCCGUAACUAUAACGGUUCUAAAGUAGCGAAAUUUCUUGUCGGGUCAGUUCCGACCCACACGAAAGGCA